This 472-nucleotide ribosomal RNA is filed under the name uncultured bacterium. RNAcentral's name for it is "partial 16S ribosomal RNA". It matches the Rfam family "Bacterial small subunit ribosomal RNA", at positions 28 to 507 of the family's 1533-position model. The record is from RNAcentral.
GACGAACGCUGGCGGCGUGCUUAACACAUGCAAGUCGAACGAUGAACCCGGAGCUUGCUCUGGGGGAUUAGUGGCGAACGGGUGAGUAACACGUGAGUAACCUGCCCUGGACUCUGGGAUAAGCGUUGGAAACGACGUCUAAUACCGGAUAGGACCUUGGAUCGCAUGAUCUGGGGUGGAAAGUUUUUUCGGUCUGGGAUGGACUCGCGGCCUAUCAGCUUGUUGGUGAGGUAAUGGCUCACCAAGGCGUCGACGGGUAGCCGGCCUGAGAGGGUGACCGGCCACACUGGGACUGAGACACGGACCAGACUCCUACGGGAGGCAGAAGUGGGGAAUAUUGCACAAUGGGCGAAAGCCUGAUGCAGCAACGCCGCGUGCGGGAUGACGGCCUUCGGGUUGUAAACCGCUUUUAGUAGGGAAGAAGGGCUUCGGCUUGACGGUACCUGCAGAAAAAGGACCGGCUAACUACGUG